This 62-nucleotide ribosomal RNA is filed under the name Alternaria sp. RNAcentral describes it as "partial 28S ribosomal RNA". Lineage: Eukaryota; Fungi; Ascomycota; Dothideomycetes; Pleosporales; Pleosporaceae. The record is from RNAcentral.
UUUUGACCUCGGAUCAGGUAGGGAUACCCGCUGAACUUAAGCAUAUCAAUAAGGCGGAGGAA